GGCAGGUGGAAAUGUCACCCUGCCGCCAUCCCGCAGCCACAGAGGAAAUCAUCAAUCAAGCUGUUCAGAGGAAGGAAUGAGGAGUGAAUCGUCCCGGAAUGUCUCUUUACAAGGAAUUUUUGGAACAGUUUAUUUUUUGUAAAUAGACACAAAUUCCUGAACUAUUAUCUCUGCAGAGCCUCCUCCUCCCCAGUUAACUCCCAUAAAAUGAGGCUUUUUAAGGCCUGAAGAAGUUUGUGGUCUCAAACCUCCUUUGUCUCAGCUCAGCUGUGUCCGUUGAGCUAAAAUCAAAAUGAAAAUAAAAAUAAAAAUGUUGUUUUUCUCCUCA
This is a long non-coding RNA of Passer montanus (Eurasian tree sparrow), 328 nucleotides long. RefSeq lists it as uncharacterized. NCBI's taxonomy places the organism in Eukaryota, Metazoa, Chordata, Aves, Passeriformes, Passeridae. The transcript has 3 exons. The record is from RefSeq and is a predicted model, not a curated record.